This 515-nucleotide ribosomal RNA is filed under the name uncultured bacterium. RNAcentral's name for it is "partial 16S ribosomal RNA". It matches the Rfam family "Bacterial small subunit ribosomal RNA", at positions 28 to 523 of the family's 1533-position model. The record is from RNAcentral.
GAUGAACGCUGGCGGCGUGCCUAAUACAUGUAAGUCGAGCGAAUGGAUUAAGAGCUUGCUCUUAUGAAGUUAGCGGCGGACGGGUGAGUAACACGUGGGUAACCUGCCCAUAAGACUGGGAUAACUCCGGGAAACCGGGGCUAAUACCGGAUAACAUUUUGAACCGCAUGGUUCGAAAUUGAAAGGCGGCUUCGGCUGUCACUUAUGGAUGGACCCGCUUCGCAUUAGCUAGUUGGUGAGGUAACGGCUCACCAAGGCAACGAUGCGUAGCCGACCUGAGAGGGUGAUCGGCCACACUGGGACUGAGACACGGCCCAGACUCCUACGGGAGGCAGCAGUAGGGAAUCUUCCGCAAUGGACGAAAGUCUGACGGAGCAACGCCGCGUGAGUGAUGAAGGCUUUCGGGUCGUAAAACUCUGUUGUUAGGGAAGAACAAGUGCUAGUUGAAUAAGCUGACACCUUGACGGUACCUAACCAGAAAGCCACGGCUAACUACGUGCCAGCAGCCGCCGCAG